Molecule: long non-coding RNA, 1311 nt
Organism: Meriones unguiculatus (Mongolian gerbil)
Lineage: Eukaryota; Metazoa; Chordata; Mammalia; Rodentia; Muridae
Exons: 3
Source: RefSeq, a predicted model, not a curated record
CAGAAUGGCAGCGAAGAAUGCAAAGGAAAGGAAAACUGUCAUUGUACUGCCAGCGCUCGCCUUCCGUGCCUCCUACAAAGCUUGCUGCUCCUCUCGUCUGACCUUUAAACUAGUUUUUAUUUCAGGAAAACAUUAAAAACUAUUUUUAGAGAUGGCGUUCUUCCUUUGUAUUUAUUUACUUAGGCUUCAAAUUGUCAAGGAAAUUACCAUAAUUUGUCACUCAAAGCAACACAGCGUGUGCAUGCCACACAAAGGAUGAUGCUGGAAGACUGGAAGAGCAGAUUGUCUAAGAAUGCUUUCCAGCAAUGCUUACAUUGAAAAAUCAUCCAUAGAGACAAGAGUGUCCACAACCAACACCUAUAAGUGCUUUGUAAAAAAACUAAAUGCAGUUGAAAAUUGGCAAGGGGUCAAUGGAGUGCUGAGGUCCCCGUGUUUUCAGUUAGACGUCUGUUUGUGCGUGCCUGUACUUGCUGUCCACGUGAACUUUUCAAACUGAAUGAAUAAAGGAAAAUGCAGUUUCUACAGGGAAGAACAGAUAACGAGGAAGACAGAAACAUCAGCAAGUCUACAAGGGUUGGAGGUGACCAAGAGAAAAAGAAUGAUUCAAGUGUUUUGCCAGAAAAACAAAAAUUCACAUGUUGAAAGUACUAGUAUCAAUCUAGAGAAAAUGUCCACAGAUCAGGAAUACAUAGUUAAUAAACAGAGAGAUGUCUGUAAACUUUUUUGUUCUGAAAUCCCAGUUAAGGACAGUGGAGGCUAUGGGGAGUCCCCAGUCACUAAAGUUAACAUGCUCUGGGGCCAUGGAUCUGAACAACCGUGACAAUUGGUUGUCACCAGCUCUUCAGAAAUAUUGUGCAAUUCAGGGAACAAUAAGAGCAAACAAUUAAUUUUUUUAAACCUCACCUCCAAACUUUUUACAAUUCUAAAGAGAUAAAUACUUACAUUAAAUUAAAGAGUAAAUUAGGCGAGUUUUGAAACCUGGAAUAAGGGCAGGUGGGCUGUAAGUCAUAUCUACACAUAGCCCUGUAAAUACUGGAAUUUCCACUGAGACCCGGGACCCCAUUAAAAAUGGUACUUAGUGACACUAAAUAUGCACCCCAAAAUCUGGCCUUGUUGAUUUCUUUGGGAAUUUUUUUUUUCUGAUUUCAAUAAAGUACAUUAAGUUGCUAUGUUUCCUUUACAUUUUAAUAACCUCUUCCUAUCUCUCACAAUCUCAUGUCUCUAAUUGUUCUUUUGAUUUAUUUGUUUCUUUCCCUUUCUAGCUAGAAGGAACUAAAAUGAUCCUGUUAACCAUCGAUUCCCCAGAACUUA